AGCUUUGCGCAGUGGCAGUAUCAUAGCCAAUGAGGUCAAACCGAGGCGUGAUUAUUGCUAAUUGAAACUUUUCCCCAUACCCGCCGUGAUGACUUGAAAUAUAGUCAGCACUGGCAAUUUUGACAGUCUCUCAGGAGA
This 138-nucleotide small nuclear RNA is filed under the name Xenopus tropicalis (tropical clawed frog). RNAcentral describes it as "U4 spliceosomal RNA (ENSXETG00000046986.1)". It matches the Rfam family "U4 spliceosomal RNA". Rfam says of the family: U4 small nuclear RNA (U4 snRNA) is a component of the major U2-dependent spliceosome. The structure of U4 snRNA from yeast and human has been reported. The record is from Rfam by way of RNAcentral. Lineage: Eukaryota; Metazoa; Chordata; Amphibia; Anura; Pipidae.